This 819-nucleotide ribosomal RNA is filed under the name uncultured Verrucomicrobiota bacterium. Its description in RNAcentral is "bacterial SSU rRNA". It matches the Rfam family "Bacterial small subunit ribosomal RNA", at positions 56 to 847 of the family's 1533-position model. Lineage: Bacteria; Pseudomonadati; Verrucomicrobiota. The record is from RNAcentral.
UGCAAGUCGAACGGGAUGGACGUUGUAGCAAUACGAUUGUCCUGAGAGUGGCGAAAGGGCGAGUAAUGCAUGGGUAAUCUACCCUCGAGCUGGGGAUAACGCCGUGAAAACGGCGCUAAUACCGAAUGUGGCCCUCCAGGGCAUCCUGGAGACGCUAAAGGCGGGGACCGCAAGGCCUGCCGCUCAAGGAGGAACCCGUGUGCCAUCAGCUUGUUGGCGGGGUAACGGCUCACCAAGGCUUACGGCUAGCUGGUCUGAGAGGACGACCAGCCGCACUGGGACUGAGACACUGCCCAGACUCCUACGGGAGGCUGCAGUCGAGGAUCAUUCGCAAUGGGCGAAAGCCUGACGAUGCGACGCUGCGUGGAGGAUGACGGCCUUCGGGUUGUAAACUCCUGUCAUGCGGGGAAAAGGUGCCGGGUGUGAACAGCAUCCGGCCUCGAUAGUACCGCAAGAGGAAGCCACGGCUAACUCUGUGCCAGCAGCCGCGGUAAUACAGAGGUGGCGAGCGUUGUUCGGAUUUACUGGGCGUAAAGGGCGCGUAGGCGGUUUGGUGUGUCGAGUGUGAAAUCUCCAGGCUCAACCUGGAAAGUGCGCUCGAAACUGCCGGACUCGAGCAUGGUAGGGGAGAGCGGAAUACACGGUGUAGCGGUGAAAUGCGUUGAUAUCGUGUAGAACACCGGUGGCGAAGGCGGCUCUCUGGAACAUUGCUGACGCUGAGGCGCGAAAGUUGGGGGAGCAAACAGGAUUAGAUACCCUGGUAGUCCCAACUGUAAACGGUGUGCACUGGACGUGGAGGGAUUUCACCCCCUCCGUGUC